Molecule: ribosomal RNA, 773 nt
Filed under: uncultured bacterium
Lineage: Bacteria
Description: bacterial SSU rRNA
Rfam family: Bacterial small subunit ribosomal RNA
Source: RNAcentral
CCUAACACAUGCAAGUCGAGCGGAAACGAUGGUAGCUUGCUACCAGGCGUCGAGCGGCGGACGGGUGAGUAACGCGUGAGAAUCUGCCCAUUUGUGGGGGAUAACUCGGGGAAACUCGAGCUAAUACCGCAUAAUCCCUACGGGGGAAAGCAGGGGACCUUCGGGCCUUGUGCAGAUGGAUGAGCUCGCGUCGGAUUAGCUUGUUGGUGAGGUAAAGGCUCACCAAGGCGACGAUCCGUAGCUGGUCUGAGAGGAUGAUCAGCCACACCGGGACUGAGACACGGCCCGGACUCCUACGGGAGGCAGCAGUGGGGAAUCUUGGACAAUGGGGGCAACCCUGAUCCAGCCAUGCCGCGUGUGUGAAGAAGGCCUUCGGGUUGUAAAGCACUUUCAGUAGGGAGGAAGGCUUACCGCUAAUAACGGUGAGUACUUGACGUUACCUACAGAAGAAGCACCGGCUAAUUUCGUGCCAGCAGCCGCGGUAAUACGAAAGGUGCGAGCGUUAAUCGGAAUUACUGGGCGUAAAGCACGCGUAGGCGGUUUGUUAAGUCAGACGUGAAAGCCCCGGGCUCAACCUGGGAAUUGCAUUUGAAACUGGCAGGCUAGAGUGCAGUAGAGGGAGGUGGAAUUUCCGGUGUAGCGGUGAAAUGCGUANAGAUCGGAAGGAACACCAGUGGCGAAGGCGGCCUCCUGGACUGACACUGACGCUGAGGUGCNAAAGCGUGGGGAGCAAACAGGAUUANAUACCCUGGUAGUCCACGCCGUAAACGAUG